UACGUAGGAGGCAAGCGUUGUCCGGAGUUACUGGGCGUAAAGGGCCCGCAGGCGGUGGAGUAAGUUUGGAGUGACAGUUCCCAGCUUAACCGGGAAAGGACUUCGAAAACUGCUCGACUUGAGGACUGGAGAGGAAGGCGGAAUUCCGGGUGGAGCGGUGAAAUGCGUAGAGAUCCGGAGGAACACCGACGGCGAAGGCAGCCUUCUGGAAAGUACCUGACGCUGAGGGGCGAAAGCUAGGGGAGCGAAGCGGG
RNAcentral lists this ribosomal RNA (254 nucleotides) under uncultured bacterium. RNAcentral describes it as "partial 16S ribosomal RNA". It matches the Rfam family "Bacterial small subunit ribosomal RNA", at positions 524 to 777 of the family's 1533-position model. The record is from RNAcentral.